AUACGUAGGGGGCGAGCGUUGUCCGGAAUGACUGGGCGUAAAGGGCGUGUAGGCGGCCGACUAAGUCUGGAGUGAAAGUCCUGUUUUCCAGGUGGGAAUAGCUUUGGAUACUGGUUGGCUUGAGUGCGGAAGAGGUAAGUGGAAUUCCCAGUGUAGCGGUGAAAUGCGUAGAGAUUGGGAGGAACACCAGUGGCGAAGGCGACUUACUGGGCCGUAACUGACGCUGAGGCGCGAAAGCGUGGGGAGCGAACAGGAUUAGAUACCCUGGUAGUCCACGCGGUAAACGAUGGAUGCUAGGUGUUGCGGGUAUCGACCCCUGCAGUGCCGGAGUCAACACAAUAAGCAUUCCGCCUGGGGAGUACGGCCGCAAGGUUGAAACUCAAAGGAAUUGACGGGG
Molecule: ribosomal RNA, 397 nt
Filed under: uncultured bacterium
Lineage: Bacteria
Description: partial 16S ribosomal RNA
Rfam family: Bacterial small subunit ribosomal RNA
Source: RNAcentral